This 68-nucleotide transfer RNA is filed under the name Marmota monax (woodchuck). RNAcentral describes it as "tRNA.Ala". The stretch from base 6 to 63 matches the Rfam family "tRNA", at positions 8 to 63 of the family's 71-position model. Rfam says of the family: Transfer RNA (tRNA) molecules are approximately 80 nucleotides in length. Their secondary structure includes four short double-helical elements and three loops (D, anti-codon, and T loops). Lineage: Eukaryota; Metazoa; Chordata; Mammalia; Rodentia; Sciuridae. The record is from RNAcentral.
GGAUAUAGCUCAGUUGGUAGAGUGCUUGUCUUGCAUGCACAAGGCCCUGGGUUCAAUCCCCAGCACCA